GGGAGAACUCCCCAGAGGAGAGAAGAUCUUAGCUGUGAUCUGCUUAAUGAUUACUAUUAAUGGAAUUAAUUUCAUUCUAUUUAGAUUCACAGGUUGAAUCCCCUUGUAUGACUGAAUUUAAAGGUAGGGUCUUUAAGGAGAUAAUUAAGGCUAAAUGAGGUCCUAAGGUAUGGUUCUGAUAUGAUGGCAUUAAUGUUUUAUAAGAGGAAGAAACACUGGAAAUGACCCCUACCCUCUUCCCCACAGAAGAGUCGUGUAAGGACACAGGAAGGCAUGAUCUAUAAGCUAGAAAGAGAGGCCUCACUAGAAACCAUCCAAUUGGAACUUUGAUCUUGGAUUUUCAUCCUCCAAAACUGUGAGAACAUGCAUUUCUGUUAUUAAAGCCACCCAGUCUAUGGCAUUUUGUCAUGGCAGCUAGACAACUAAUACAACUAGAAAUAAGCCAGAUAAAGUGGCAGAGAUUGGGCUGGGAGAAAGUGGGUAACAAUGAGCAUAUAGGUCUGGAGUGAAGGAGUGUGGGUCUCUUCAAGGACAAAACGCAGUGUAGGCACACUAUGGGAGUGACCAUGCAUUAUCUGUCCAUCAGCUACAACUCUGAAAUCAUACCUGCCAUGAAUCUGAUGGCAGAAGAGAAAUUGGUUUUUGGCGGGGGUGGUCAAAACAGAAGUUCUGAUGUAUAUGUUAAAUAUUUGAAAUAUCUCAAAGCCAUAGUAGGAUUGUUUCUAG
This 726-nucleotide long non-coding RNA is filed under the name Marmota monax (woodchuck). The record is from RNAcentral. Lineage: Eukaryota; Metazoa; Chordata; Mammalia; Rodentia; Sciuridae.